UGGGUAGCUUGCACAGUCUCUGCCCGGCUGUGCCUGGCUCCUGCUAGCGCUGUGGGCUCCUCACUUUCACAAGCACCAAAGUUGCUCGGGGCGUGGAGACGAGUGCAGCCACCCAGAGCGCCUGGGCCCCUCUGGUGCCAGGCUGCACAGGGCAGUGACGACCUGCACCUACCUUACAAAGCCCAUCUCGGAGCUCUCUGGGCAUGGGCACGUUGCAGGGACACUGUCCCCACAGCCCAGGCUUCCCUGCUCUGGGCCAAGCGGCUGACUUUCCCAGGCCAGGGGACUGGGCGCUCACGUUUUCCGGCCGCCCAGCUCAGUGAUGGAGCAUGUGACCAGCUCCUAUUCAGCCUGAGCGGGGAAGGUGAACUGCAAGACCUCCCCGUCUCUGUCCUCCCAAAGGCCAACACAACUUGCUUGGCUAACAAUACGUGUCCACCCACCACCUCCCUGAGCAGCGGGCGGCAGCUUGAUGGCUCCCUCUUUUCUGACAUACCCACCGGGAACGCGGGGCUGUAUAUAAGGAGGGGACGUGCUGCCUGCCUGACACUUCAAUCAGCAUCCAGGACUGCAAGCGCCAGGAAACAGCAGAGUCAGCUGAGGCUACUUCCAGAGAUGAACCUGAUGCUUCAAGUCACCUUCCUGGGUCUCCUGUCCCUGCUGGUGCAGGGCUGGGUUCAGAACAGAUCCCUGCAGCGUGAGAGAUGGAGCCAGCUGGACCUGCCGCAGAACAGAGAGCUGUUCCUAAGUGCCCUGCAGAGCUACUUCGGCAGCAGAGGGAUCCACGUCGAGAAGGCUGCGCCGGCCUUCGUGCUGUCCACGAGGGAUCGCAACCAGGGGGACCAGGAAGGACGAGAGCUGAUGGCCCCCGAGAGGGGGGUAGAUGACUAGGAAGAG
This 897-nucleotide long non-coding RNA is filed under the name Chrysemys picta bellii (western painted turtle). RNAcentral describes it as "lncRNA (ENSCPBG00000016195.1)". Lineage: Eukaryota; Metazoa; Chordata; Testudines; Emydidae. The record is from RNAcentral.